This is an RNA transcript of Teleopsis dalmanni, 973 nucleotides long. It is a transcript of the gene named pyridoxine/pyridoxamine 5'-phosphate oxidase 1, chloroplastic, with no coding region annotated. NCBI's taxonomy places the organism in Eukaryota, Metazoa, Arthropoda, Insecta, Diptera, Diopsidae. The transcript is spliced from 7 exons. The record is from RefSeq and is a predicted model, not a curated record.
UGCAACUAGAGCUUACUUCGAAAACUUUGAAAAAUCCUGCAAAGCCACCAGAGAAACUUAACAAUAUCCAAAAGAGAGCAUUUGUCAGCUGAAGCACAAAUAAAAUCACAUAUUUGUUUUUUACAUUUCAAUUAAAUAUGACACAUAUUUCGAAAUUAACCAUAAUAAAGCAUGUACCAGCCGAACCACUGGAUAUGUUCAAAAGUAUUAUUGAAAGAAUUAAUUCGACGUCAAUUAUAAUGAAUAUUGCUACAAUGGAUAAAGAAUUUCACAUAUUAAACCGAUCAGUUGCAUAUCGGGGACUUGUGGAUAAUUCAAUUUGUUUUGUAACCGAACGUAACACAAGGAAAUAUCACAACAUAAUAGCAAAUCCUAAUGUAGCUUUAACAAUGUUCUUUCCUGAAGUAUAUAAUCCAAAUACACCAAAUAUCAAAGAAACUUGGCAAGUACGUCUUAUUAAUGGAAAAGCGGUAGAACUUGAGCCCACACAAAUAGCUAAAUUAUGGACUGAAGAACCUAUCUUUGCAAAGAUACGUAGCCACAUUUGUAAAUGUGGUGAACCAGUAAAUCAUGAAGAACUACUACAAAAGCAUGAUGAACUAUUAAAGGAAUAUGAAAAUGGCUGCAAUAAGCUAGAGCAAACAAAUACUUACACUGCUUUUAAAAUAAUACCAAAAAUUUGGGAUUUUUACAAGAAUGAAGAAAAUUGUAUUGCUGAUCGGGUACAAUAUAGUUUGGAAAUAACUGAAACGGAACAAAAAUGGAAAGUAUACCAUGUAAAUGCUUGAGCAAAAGAAAUGCCUUCUAUAAUAAAUAAUAUGAAAAUUUAUUAUCGUAAUCAAAUGCGACUAUUUAUUUUUAAAGCUGGAACUAGCUAUGAAACUAUUAGAAAAAAAGUUAUGAAAACUUUUAAAAUUGUACCGGAAAAACAACAUUUAUAUCAUAUCACCAAUGGAGACGGAUACAUAUUUGA